RNAcentral lists this long non-coding RNA (270 nucleotides) under Daucus carota (carrot). Its description in RNAcentral is "long non-coding RNA (DCAR_LNC003255)". The record is from RNAcentral. Lineage: Eukaryota; Viridiplantae; Streptophyta; Magnoliopsida; Apiales; Apiaceae.
UGCUUGUUUGGUUAGUAAUAGGAAGUUAAAUCCUAUGUGAUUUGAAAUUACUAUGGCAAUUAUAAUAAAUGGGAAGUUAAAAUUUGUGUUUGGUUGAUAGAUGGGUUUUAACUUCCUAUAGGAAGUGCAAGUUACCAAGGGGGUGUAGGUCAAUAACUUCCUAUGUUUUGUGGGCAUUUAAAAUUCCAAGGAACUUACACUUCCCCGAUUAAUGUCAACCAAACAGUUUCAUCAAAUACUACUUCCUAGGAAUUUCUACUUCCCACAUAU